This 474-nucleotide ribosomal RNA is filed under the name uncultured bacterium. RNAcentral's name for it is "bacterial SSU rRNA". It matches the Rfam family "Bacterial small subunit ribosomal RNA", at positions 37 to 507 of the family's 1533-position model. The record is from RNAcentral.
UGGUGGCAUGCCUUAUACAUGCAAGUCGAGCGGGAUCCAAGAAGCUUGCUUUUUGGUGAGAGCGGCGAACGGGUGAGUAACAGGUGAGCAAUCUGCCCCUCAGUUGAGGAUAGCCCUCCUAACGGAGGAUUAAUACUGAAUAUGGUAUGGCAUCUUAUGUUGUCUAUACGAAAGGCUUCGGCCGCUGGGGGAUGAGCUCGCUUAAGAUUAGCUAGUUGGUGAGGUAAUGGCUCACCAAGGCCACGAUCUUUAGCCGGCCUGAGAGGGUGAUCGGCCACAUUGGGACUGAGAUACGGCCCAGACUCCUACGGGAGGCAGCAGUAGGGAAUAUUGCACAAUGGAGGCAACUCUGAUGCAGCAAUGCCACGUGUGGGAUGACACUUUUAGGAGCGUAAACCACUGUCAACUGGGAAUAAUGCCAUGGUAGCCCCAUGGUUGAAGGUACCAGUAAAGGAAGCACCGGCUAACUUCGUG